GACGAACGCUGGCGGCGUGCUUAACACAUGCAAGUCGAACGGAAAGGCCCCUUUGGGGGUACUCGAGUGGCGAACGGGUGAGUAACACGUGAGUAACCUGCCCUUGACUUCGGGAUAACUUCAGGAAACUGGGGCUAAUACCGGAUAGGAAUCCUUGCUUCAUGGUGGGGGUUGGAAAGCUUCGGCGGUUUUGGAUGGACUCGCGGCUUAUCAGCUUGUUGGUGGGGUAGUGGCUUACCAAGGCUUUGGCGGGUAGCCGGCCUGAGGGGGCGACCGGCCACAUUGGGACUGAGAUACGGCCCAGACUCCUACGGGAGGCAGCAGUGGGGAAUAUUGCACGAUGGGCGGAGGCCUGAUGCAGCAACGCCGCGUGCGGGAUGACGGCCUUCGGGUUGUAAACCGCUUUCAGCAGGGGCGAAGCUUGUGGUGACGGUACCUGCAGAAGAAGCACCGGCUAACUACGUG
Molecule: ribosomal RNA, 465 nt
Filed under: uncultured bacterium
Lineage: Bacteria
Description: partial 16S ribosomal RNA
Rfam family: Bacterial small subunit ribosomal RNA
Source: RNAcentral